GAUGAACGCUGGCGGCGUGCUUAACACAUGCAAGUCGAACGGGAAACCUUUUAUUGAAGCUUCGGCAGAUUUAGCUGGUUUCUAGUGGCGGACGGGUGAGUAACGCGUGGGUAACCUGCCCUAUACAGGGGGAUAACAACCAGAAAUGGUUGCUAAUACCGCAUAAGCGCACAGGGCCGCAUGGUCCGGUGUGAAAAACUCCGGUGGUAUAGGAUGGACCCGAGUUGGAUUAGCCAGUUGGCAGGGUAACGGCCUACCAAAGCGACGAUCCAUAGCCGGCCUGAGAGCGUGAACGGCCACAUUGGGACUGAGACACGGCCCAGACUCCUACGGGAGGCAGCAGAGGGGAAUAUUGCACGAUGGGGGAAACCCUGAUGCAGCGGCGCCGCGUGAAGGAAGAAGUAUCUCGGUAUGUAAACUUCUAUCAGCAGGGGAGAUAGUGACGGUACCUGACGAAGAAGCCCCGGCUAACUACGUG
Molecule: ribosomal RNA, 478 nt
Filed under: uncultured bacterium
Lineage: Bacteria
Description: partial 16S ribosomal RNA
Rfam family: Bacterial small subunit ribosomal RNA
Source: RNAcentral